This 74-nucleotide transfer RNA is filed under the name Escherichia phage 121Q. RNAcentral's name for it is "tRNA-Thr". It matches the Rfam family "tRNA". From Rfam's summary of the family: Transfer RNA (tRNA) molecules are approximately 80 nucleotides in length. Lineage: Duplodnaviria; Heunggongvirae; Uroviricota; Caudoviricetes. The record is from RNAcentral.
GCCGACUUAGCUCAGUAGGUAGAGCGUUCCUCUUGUAAGGGAAAUGUCACCAGUUCAAUUCCGGUAGUCGGCAC